GACGUAGGGGGCGAGCGUUGUCCGGAGUCACUGGGCGUAAAGAGCUCGUAGGCGGUGUGUCACGUCGGCCGUGAAAACCUGCAGCUUAACUGUGGGCGUGCGGUCGAUACGGGCAUCACUGGAGUUCGGCAGGGGAGACUGGAAUUCCUGGUGUAGCGGUGAAAUGCGCAGAUAUCAGGAGGAACACCGGUGGCGAAGGCGGGUCUCUGGGCCGAUACUGACGCUGAGGAGCGAAAGCGUGGGGAGCAAACAGG
Molecule: ribosomal RNA, 254 nt
Filed under: uncultured bacterium
Lineage: Bacteria
Description: partial 16S ribosomal RNA
Rfam family: Bacterial small subunit ribosomal RNA
Source: RNAcentral